Molecule: ribosomal RNA, 496 nt
Filed under: uncultured bacterium
Lineage: Bacteria
Description: partial 16S ribosomal RNA
Rfam family: Bacterial small subunit ribosomal RNA
Source: RNAcentral
GAUGAACGCUGGCGGCGUGCCUAAUACAUGCAAGUCGAGCGAACGGACGAGAAGCUUGCUUCUCUGAUGUUAGCGGCGGACGGGUGAGUAACACGUGGAUAACCUACCUAUAAGACUGGGAUAACUUCGGGAAACCGUAGCUAAUACCGGAUAAUAUUUUGAACCGCAUGGUUCAAAAGUGAAAGACGGUCUUGCUGUCACUUAUAGAUGGAUCCGCGCUGCAUUAGCUAGUUGGUAAGGUAACGGCUUACCAAGGCAACGAUGCAUAGCCGACCUGAGAGGGUGAUCGGCCACACUGGAACUGAGACACGGUCCAGACUCCUACGGGAGGCAGCAGUAGGGAAUCUUCCGCAGUGGGCGAAAGCCUGACGGAGCAACGCCGCGUGAGUGAUGAAGGUCUUCGGAUCGUAAACUCUGUUAUUAGGGAAGAACAUAUGUGUAAGUAACUGUGCACAUCUUGACGGUACCUAAUCAGAAAGCCACGGCUAACUACGUG